AGUUGAUUCUGCUAGUAGUCAUAUGCUUGUCUCAAAGAUUAA
This 42-nucleotide ribosomal RNA is filed under the name Acacia adsurgens. Its description in RNAcentral is "partial 18S ribosomal RNA". Lineage: Eukaryota; Viridiplantae; Streptophyta; Magnoliopsida; Fabales; Fabaceae. The record is from RNAcentral.